Molecule: long non-coding RNA, 38575 nt
Filed under: Musa acuminata (dwarf banana)
Lineage: Eukaryota; Viridiplantae; Streptophyta; Magnoliopsida; Zingiberales; Musaceae
Description: long non-coding RNA (MACU_LNC000313)
Source: RNAcentral
CUCUCUCUCUCUCUCUCUCUCUCUGAGGCGACUCAUCCUCUCUCCGCACGGCGACUCAUCGCGGCAAGAUGGCAAGAGACGAAGCAUCGACCAUCCAUCCUAUGGUACAAUGUUAUUCUUUCGUCAUUGUAAUCUUUAUUUUCUUUUCCCUUUUGUUUUAGGGUUUUUUAAGGUUUUCUUUUUUCUUCGUUCGAAAUCAUAUGUCGUCGGCGGUCAUCAGCUCCCGAUCCGUCACAGGAAGAUUCGAUGCCGUCGGCGGAUCCCGGUGAGAACCCUGACGGCAGCGAAUCCGUCGGCGGCGGUCUCCCAAUCAGAAUCGCUGCCAGCGGCGGAUUCUUCCCGCUAGUGUCGGUGGAUUUGCCGCCGCCGUCGACGGAUUCUUACCGCAACCUUCCCCUGUUUCCUAUCCGCGCCUCCCAUCCUCCUGCCGCCGGGUUUCCCGCCGUCGUUCACUCCUUCCCUGUGUCCUCUCUGCCCCCUUCCCCCUGUCGCCGACGACUGUGAAGCCGGUUUCCGCCGCCGUCAGUAAGAACCCCAACUAUCGGGCCAUGACACCACUCUCUAACUUUCCAGUAAAACUUGUAUGCCUUCAGAUUUCACUCACUUCCCGUACUAUUUGAGAAUGGAACUUAUCACGUGAUUCUUCUGAUGAUAGAUAUCAACGGACCAAGAACAGUUCAAGGAAACAGAGAGCCAGGUCAAGGAAGAAGUAUAUUGGAUCCUAAGAUGGUAUCUCUCUCUCUCUCUCUUUCUCUCGUGUUGUAAGACAGACACCGAGAAAGAUGAAUUUAGAUUAAGAAGGCAAGUAUUUAGUGCACUGUGCAGGAAAAGCAGUGGGUUCUCAAGAGGAGUCUCAAAAUACAGAGGAGUUGCAAGGUUUAAAUUGCUAUCUUUUUGCUUGUUCCAAGUCUUAUCAAAUAGGAUAAACAUGCAUUACUAUUAUGAUUUAUGGUGAUGCUGAGCAGCUGACUCACCACCAUCCUAGUCUGCUUUCCUUUUCAUGCAGAUGUAUGAAGGUUAGGGCUGCCAUGACCUAAUUCUUGCUUGUUUGAGUAAAAGAGAAGAAGAAGAAGAAGAAGAAGAAAACUAUGGAGUAAAUGUUGACUUUGUAUCAUCAUUUUUAUGUUAAUUUUAUGGUAUUUAAAAUAUAUUUUUAAAAUCUUAGCAAGAAAAAUAAAGUCAAUAAGUCAAAACAAAAAAUACCACAUAUUUUAGGAAAGAAAAAUUAUGCCAGGUUGAUUAAUGAAAAGGUAAGUAAAUUUUUUAGACAUCUGAUGUGUUUUUAUAUUUACUAACAAUAUUAUAUUUUAUGUUUUGUUAGAAAGUCAAGAUAGGAAAGAAGUUAACUAAAGAUGAUGUUUUUAUUAUUGGUGAUGAAAAAAAAAAAAGAUAAAAUGUCUGUGAGUGAGGAUGCAACAAAAGUAAUUGUUUGUAUCACUUGAUCUUUUGAGAAAAGCACUAUAAAUAUUUUUUUAAUAAUUUUUUGAUAUUAUAUUAUUCAAAACUUUCAAGAGAAAAAUUCCCAAUCUGUAUAUGACAUUGGAUGCACUUAAUUAUUGGUACUAUGGUUUUUGUAUAACUUGAUCUAGUUAAUAAAAAAAUUAUCUUCCUUUUCAUGAAUUGUGAGCUAUCACUGUGGUUAGUAUGUAUAUCAUGGUUUAAUAUUAUGGUUGUCUUUUCAUUAGAUAAAUGUAUCUAUUUAUAUAAUUAUUAUAAUAAUAAUAAGAUGUAAAUUAUUACAGUUGAAUAAUUGUAGAAAUAAUUAAACUAUUACUGUGGUUGUCUUUUUGUUGGAUAAAAGCAUCUAUUACUGGACUCGAAUAAUCACAGUAAUAGCUAAACUAUUAUUGUGGUUUUCUUCGGUAGGGUAAAAGUAUUUAUUAUUAUAGUUGAAUAAUCAUAAUAAUAAUUAAAUUAAUAUUGUGAUUUUUAUUCAUAGGAUAAAAAUAUCUAUUACUGUAAUUGUGGAUCCGCAUUGAUAUAUGAAUUAUUUCAUUUAUUGAGAAAAAAAUAUUUAUUACUAUGGUUUGAAUCACCACAGUAAUUAAUAUAGUUAUAUCCUCACAAUGGCAUUUAUUAUUACGAUUUCUAACUAUAAGAAUAAGUCUUACUGUAGUUAAAACUAUAGGAAAACUCACGAGGAGUUGUCCACUGGGUAACGAGUGUAAUUGUAUGGUUUUAAUUUUUUAGAAUAUGUGAAUUCUAAAAUGUACCUUUGAGAGCAAUGGAGACCUAACGGCUUUACGAGUCUUUGAUUCUCGUACUUCUCAAUUAACGUGGAACUAAAUGAUCUUACCAUCAGAAUAUAAAUAAAAAUCGUAGUUCCAAGAUGACAAAGGUAUCUUAGUCGUACGAGAUGCUUUUGUACAUAGGUGCUGCUCUUUUAAUACUUAUUUGAUUAGUUUUGUUAUUAUAUUUUAAUUAUUAUUAUUUUUUUCCUUUGCCUCUUUCUUUUCUUCUCUAUUAUUACUCAAAAGAAAAAAAAGCGUCCUUAAUUUUUCAUCAAAUCGUUUGCAGCAGUAUUUUUUUUAAUUAAAUUUUUUUUAUUACAUCAAAUAACAUAAGUAAUGCUGAAUUCAAAUAUGAGGUUUAUUAUUUAUGCAACAUUACAUAAAUCAAUUUGGACAUCUCUGCAAUUACUAAUGACCCGAUCAUGUAAUUUCUACAAUCCUUUUCCUUGUUUUAUAUUCACCAACUGCUCGACAAAAUUCCCAUCGAUUCAUCUUCUCGCCAUCCAAGUAACAUCGAAGUUGCUUCAGCUAUCACCAUGAACAGACGCCAACUUUUAGUCCCAAAUGGGACAUCUGUCGUGCAACUAAUGCUGCAUGUUCACCUGUCACUGUCCACCCGCAUGACAGCUCGUCGAAGCCAUGAUCGAGUUGGAACCGAGUCUGAACGUACCGCUUUGUUUAUGCUCUCAGUGCCGAGUAGGUUACGACUUAUAUAUCACAGAUCGAGACGCGAGCCAUGUUUUAAUGAUACGAACGUGGCGCCUGUGCGACUUUAGGAAUCAGUCGACUCGGGUUCAUCAUAAUUGGAGCAGCUGUAGGCUUCUUGUUUGCUUUCUCACCCACUCCCAUUAGUCUGUUCAGUAAUAGCAGAUGAAAUAAUUAGAUAUCAGUCUAAUUAUUCUCGUAGCAAUAGCGUCAUCCUUACGUUUGAUCCAAAAGAACUCCAGCGCUCGUGUGGGAAAGGCGGACCCCACUGCGUUGACCAGUUGUUGACUUCGGAUACUAGCACUUUUACCAAACUCACUUAUCGAACCCAAUUUAUGUGGAUCACAUAAAUAACAUAUAUAUUAUUGGACGAAUUUCGAAAAAAAUUAUUAAGUUUGAGAAGUUCUUGUAGGCUAAUUUUUUUUAAUUAAGUCAAUUACCUCUUUUCGCUCAAAAUAAUCGCACACGAUACUGGCAUAAUCGUGCACAAAAGAUAAUAAGUGGCUAAUACUUUAUCAUCGUCGGACGUCAAUAGUCAUCUCCGUCUAGGCCUUCCUCGCUAGUGACGAAGGUUGCACGUCUUUAUUAUCGCUUGUAGACUCUCCUCAUCGUCGACUACAAGUGAAGAAGAAAAGUUGACUUGUAUACUUGCACCAUCGAUAGUAAGGAAGAGUGUUCUUGAUGGAAACAAAAUACAAAGAAGAUUGUAUUGAGUUAUUGAAAUAAUAUACAAUACUCCAUAUUUAUAUAUAUUAUAAUGAAGAAUUUUUCUCAACAUAGGAGGAUUUUCCAUAUUUCCUCAUGUAGUUGGGGAGAUCUCGGCUGUUGUUGAGAUUGUUAUCAUGGGAGAUCUUAAUUAUUAUCAUGCCCCCGCAAGAUGGUGCUUCUGUCAAGGACGUCGAUCUUAGACCGAUGUGAUGAAAGCGAUUUUUGAGUGAGAGGCUUCGUGAGAGAGUCCGCUAGUUGAUCAGCUGUAUGUACGUGAGAAACACGUAGUUGAUGUCUGACAACUUAUUCUUGCACGAAGUGAAAGUCGAUAUCGGGCUAUGUGUUUCAUGCGUGAGUGGAAUACUAAAUUGACGCAUAUAUAAAUGGCUCCGACAUUGUCACAAUAUAUCGUAGGAGUAGAGGUAAUGUUGAUGCCAAGUUCCUUGAGGAGAUUCAUGACCCAAUUGAGUUCUACAGCAACGGUGGCUGUAGCACGGUAUUCAGCUUUAGAACAUGCAACUGUCUUUUGCUUCUUAGAACUCCAACUGAUUGGAUUAGGUCAAAGGAAGAGAAUAUACCCCGAUAUAGAUGUUCUGUCAUCAAAAUUCCCUACCCAAUCAACAUUAGCAAAGGUGUGGAGAUGAAGGGAGGAGUGUUUGCGGAAAAAGAGGUAAUGAUUGAUAGUCCGUGAAGAUAUCGUAAAAUUCAUUUGAUUGCAUACUAAUGCAUAGUAGAUGGGCGAUGCAUGAAUUAAAAUAAUUUAUUGACCGCAAAUGAGAUAUCUGGAUGGGUGAGAGAUAAAUACUGUAAGGAGCCAAGGACUUGACGGUAUUGAGUUGGGUCUGUAGUAGGGCUUUCAUCACAUAGUUUGAGCGACUCGCAAGUAGACAGAGGUGUUGUAACUGCCUUUGCAUCUUGCAUGUUAGUUUUAGAUAAUAGAUCUUGAAUAUACUUUCGUGGUGAUAGGAAGAGCCCGGAAGAUGUGUAUGUUACUUCCACUUCCAAAAAAUAGCUCAAGGUUCCGAGAUCUUUAAGGGAGAAUCGAUCUACUAAAUGCUUGAGGAAUGCCUUGAUUUUCAUAAGAUUGUUGCUUGUGACAAUAAUAUCAUCCACAUAUACUAGAAGAUAUAUUAUAUUGCCACUUUGGUGAUGGAGAAAUAAGGAGGUAUCGGACUUGGAGUUGAUGAAGUCAAUUGAUGCAAAAAACGAGCCAAGUUCAGUGUACCAAGCUCUUGGAGCCUGACGAAGUCCAUAAAUAGCUUUUUGUAGUUUACAAACAUGCUUUGGAUAUCGAGGGUGGUUGAAGACAGGAGGUUGCUGCAUAAAGACAUCGUCAGUCAAGGUACCCUGUAGAAAGGCAUUGUUAACGUCGAGUUGACGUAAAUGCCAGCCUUGUGAGAUGGCCAAACUCAGAAUAAGUCGGAUUGUUAUGGGUUUAACAACAAUGUUGAAUAUCUCUGUGAAGUCAACACUAAGACGUUCAUGAAAUCCUUUGGCCACUAUGCAUGCUUUAUAUCUGGCUACGAAUCCAUAUGGGUUCGCUAGUAUGAAGAUUUUUGGGCUUGAGUAAUUGUGGUAGGUUCAGUGGUCUCUAACGAGGAUGUUGUGAUGAAAUGUAGGUCAAGAAUUUAUCGUGGUUUAAAGACGCCACUUUUGGAGCGUGUUGUCAUUGGAUGUCUAGAGGCUAUAAGGUGUGUUGUAGGUAUGGGCGGUGGAGAGGCACUAAACAUAGAUUAGGGUAGGCUGAGGGACUUCAGUGUCAUUGGUCCCAGGAGAGGAUAAAGGUAGUGAUUGUGUUUCCGAGGGAAUGUUUUCAGUCGUGGGGGAACCUUGUAAAGAAGGGAGAGGCUCAAUGGAAGGGGUGAGGAGCUAUUGCACCGGGAGAAUGAGAGAGUGUGGAUCAUGAGGAGAAGAACUGGAUGAUAUUAUGGGAGACUCGGUUGACGGGAUUGAUGGCGUACUCCAGUGAUGUAUAUGUGAUGGAGUAGGUCGCACAGUAGGAGACUCAGGGUUGUGAAACGGAAAGGUAGUCUCUAUAAAAAUAACAUGACGGGACAUAAAUACUUUUCGAGAUUAGGGUUCAUAGCAUCGAAAGACAUUAUGGUUAACGGAGUAUCCAAUGAAAACGCAAGGUUUAGAUUUUGAUAUUAUCUUAUGUAAGGCAUAGGGACAGUGCCAUGAAUAACAUAAAUAUCCAAACACUUUGAGUUUUUAAAUAUUUAGGGAUUUAUGAAAUAAUUUUUCAAAUGGUGACUCGUACUCGAGGACUAGAGUAAGCAUACGAUUAAUGAGGUAGACGACAGCUUGAAAGGCUAUAGUCCAAAAAGUUGGUGGUAUAGAGGCUUAGUGUCAGAGUGUGAGACCAGUUUCAACUAUAUGUCAAUGUUUUCAUUCAGUAGAGCCGAUGAGUUGAGGAGUGUGUGGAGAUGACUUAAGGUAUUAUAUAUCAUAAGCAGAUAGGCAGGAUGUGAGGGCUUGAUAUUCGCCGCCACCAUCGGAGUAAAUAGUUUUAAUUUUAGACCGAAAGAAGUUCUCGACAAAUUUUUGAAAGUUGGUAAAGACUAUUGAAACUUCAUAUUUAUGGUGAAAAUGGUAUAACCAUAUGUAUUUGGUGAAAUAAUAUACGAAAACCAUAUGUAUUUGGUGAAAUAAUCUACGAAAAUAACAUAAAACCUAAAUUUAUCAAAGGAAGUGAUUGGAGCGGGGCCCCAAACAUCAGUAUAAAUAACCGGGUUUAGAGCAGGAUAUAGAGGAUUUUUCAAAGGGAAGUCUAUGACUUUUAUUACUUGGGGAGUAACUCUUUGUUGAUUUGUGUGAUCAGGACGCCAAGGUUGAGGAUAAUUGAAGUAGCCGGGUUGUACUUCUUCUUAGAUUUUUUGACUGACUUGAGCUAUGAUGGAAGGUUCUGGCAACUUGUCCUCACGCUUGAGAUAUAUCUCAUAGUCAGUCAACUUAUCAUAAAGUUCUUCAAAUGACAUCGGUGAGUCGUGUGCCUGUAUUACUACUACCAAUUUCUUAUACUCAUCCCUGAGGUCGUUAAGCGUAUGGAUAAUGAUUUCUUCAUCACUAAGAUUAUGAUCUAUUAGGGCAAGUUAUUGAUAAUAACUUUUAUAUUUUAUAGAUAGUCAGCAAUAGCACUUUCUUCUUGUUUUGCUUGCAUGAGACUAGAUAGGAGACUAAGCAUACGAGUGCGCGAACGAUUUAUCAAGGUGAUUUGUAGUAUCAUAUGAAGAUAUGAGUGGGACAAGGGAUCCAACGAUUGAAGCUUAAAUUGCUUAAAGGAUGAGAUGAUCUUGACAUAACCAUAGUUUAUGGUCUGGAUUUGGUACUGGAUUGGGUACUUCUGGAAUAUUGAGCAUUGCCCGUGGACAACAAAGAGAGCCAUCGAUGUAGCCUAAUAGAUUAUAACCAAAUAAGAGAUUAGAAAAUUGAGUACGAUAAGUAAUUGUCAUCUUUGGAUGAGAAGGGGAUGAGAGUCGCAACAUUAGAAAUAAGGCUAGAAGAAAAGGUAACGUGGCUUCUGCAAGCAACAACGAUUACAGUAGCAGCGACACCACCGUCGCUGAACGUGUUUGCAGAUUGCAAUAUUGUGAGAUGCUGCAGCUUGCAGUUUUAGGAGAAGCGGGCGAUGCUGCAGCUUACGGUUUUGGGAGAAGUCGGUGAUGCUGUGGGCGCGGUCCCACUUUGGGAGAAGCCGGCGAUGCUGCGGGCGCAGAGUGUCCGACGAAUUUCUACGCGGCCGCGGGUGAGAUCGAGGAGGCCGACGAAGGGGAAAGAAGGGCCGGAAGGGGAGUUUGGAUGGGCGGCUGCGAUGGCUUGAACUCCGCCGGCUGGCAGCAGAUCAGCAGAGGACAGACGUCGGGGAUGGCGGUAUAGUCGUACACCUUGACGACCUCCUCGGCAGUGUUGAACUUACCAAGUCACACCCGGACGCAGCGCCAAGGAUCGCGGAUCUCCGCCGCGAACUUCCCACGGCCGCGGAACCGCUUCACGCUCUCGUCACGGGAGUAGAAGAGGAUCCAUUUGGUCCUCCUCGUUGUUCUCCUUCCGGAAGGGAAGGAAGAUGCAGCGGAGGAAGGGUGGCAGCGGCAACGAUGGCUGCGGGAUUAUAGCUCUGAUACCAUAUGGAAACGAACGAACUAAAUAGAAGUUGGGGAGAUCUUGACUGCUAUUGAAGUUGUUAUCACGGGAUAUCUUGACUGUUAUCAGUUUUCACUGUCGAGGAAGGACGGAACAUAACUUGCAGAUUCGCGAAGGUGAUAGAUGACGAGGGAAGAUGGAGAUAAAAAUAGUUUUUAUGUGAUUAGAAAUAUUUUAUAAAUUUUUUUACAAAUUGAAACGUUUUUGAGAAAUUCUAGAAGUUAGAAAUUUGUUUGACAAUUCGUCCUAUAUCAUUUAUGCAAUUCUUAGUCUUGCUUUCAACCUCGAAUAGUUAAGAACCACCGCCGGUCUCCUGUGGUGUCGACGUGGUGACCACGGUGGGUUUCAGCUCACGUGACGACAAGUCUCAUGCUUGAUGGCUAGGAUUGAAUCCUCUAACCGAUAAAGAUUUAUAACCGCAUGAUCUUCAACCGUCAACAUCGCUUUCCGCGGUCAAAACCCAGUACAGUGGUGGGUUUGGCCGACACAGGCCACGUAAAAGAAACCAAAUUUGCCUUCUCAAGCUAACCAUGAUGUUGGAGAUCUUACGAGACGCGCAAAUAUGAACCUGUAGAUUCGCCCAUCUUCCAGCGUGAUCAAAGCUUUACCCUCUUCACAUGGAACUGUAGUUUCUGAGGCAGAUCUUGACUGGGAAAGGGUCAGAUUGGAAGCUCUGGUGAUGCAGAACACCCAUCUUUCUCUUCGCAUCCCCAACUGUCCCCUGCGUACCUAACAUGACCCAUUAAUUUCGUUCCCGUGUUCAUACUCCUCCGAGAAGUCGAGCCAACAGCGGUCUUCGACGAACGGAAUUGGAAGAGAGCGGCGAUUCGUACGAGGCAACGUCGAAGAUGCCAUCCCUGAGAAAAAUUUCGUCUCUCGUCGCGAGUCUUCCGCUUCCUUCCCCAUGCGAUGACUGACUGUAACUCUGUCGAUAGCCAGGGUAGACUGCAGGAGCUGUCGAGAGCGGAAGCAGUGAAGACCGAAGAGAGAGUUGGAAAUUUCGUGGAAGCAGUUGCAGGUGUGAUGUAUAGUCCAAGAAGAAGGACAAGCCACAGGUGCGUGUCUACGCAGGCAAAUCACUCCGUGAUCCUAAAUCGUGUGGGUAAAGAGGAAGGCUCCACAGCGAAGCAACAGGUGGCAGAAGCGGCGUCUCACCCGGUUCCCACCUGACGCAGUUCCUCCUCCUCCCCUGUCAAAUCAGUUCUCACUCGCGAGGUUUUCUUACCUGGGUCGGUCUUUAAAUCCUUAUCCUCGCUUCCAUUUCGUUCUUAGUUUCUACCUUUGCUUUUCCCCCUCUGUUAGGAUUUCAGCUCGAUUCAUGAUUUCUCGUCUUCGAUCCACCUGAGUUCUUGUCGGAAUUCAUAUCCCCUUCUCCGAAACAUGGCAUGCUUUGGCUACUUCAAGAAGAAGCCGAACGGUGCACCGGAGAGGAGCAGUGCCCCCGCCACGACGCCUGCGACUACUACUUCCUCGAGUUUUAGCACCAGCCGGUCCGACGAUUCGGCCGCCGGAAGGCGUUGGAGCAGGUCAACGGGGUCUACGACGUCACAGAAGAGCAUUCCGGCUUUGUACGAGGAGAGGGGCCACAAGCUGCGUGUUUUUGAGCUGGAUGAACUGAGGAACGCUACCAAUGACUUCAGCAGAAUGAAUAAGAUUGGGGAAGGUGGGUUUGGGAGAGUCUACAAGGGUUAUGUCAGACAUCCGGAUGGAAUUGGGGGCAGGAAGCUGGUGGCCAUAAAGAAGCUCAACCAAAAAGGCUUGCAGGUAUCCCCUGUCACCUGUUCAUCCCUGUGAUUAUAGUCGAUUUGAAUCUAACUGUGAGCGCAAGCACCACUGUUGUUGUCUUUUCAUGCUGCACAAAAUUGCAUUAACUGAUGGAGAUACCUUCAGAUUGGUGAGUUACAAGCUAUUUAAGCCUUGAAAGUUGAAAGCAUAUUGCAUCUAUCCUGCAAACCUAGAGGAGGAAGGAAAACUUUUGGUCUGUAUAUGCAUCUAAGAAGUGAAUUAUCAUCAUUUUAUUAUGUUAUUGAGCACAGCUAUUAGGAAAAAAGAAAAUUGCAUGGUGUUAACAGGAAUGAAAGAUUUUGGUAGCAGUGAAAGGAGGGUAAGAGAGGAAGAGUUGAAGAUCUCUGUUUGAUCGAAACAACUUAAAAGAGACAAUGGAAAGAACAAAGAGAACAGAUGUUGCCUGUAAUCUAAAUAAGUGGCUAUGCUGGUUUAUGUUUGCUUCUUCAGAUAGUUGGAUUGUAACAUUGCAUCUGUUGGUGUUUUUAGGUAAUUAUAACCUCUUGAAAAUUCAUGAUUGUCAUCUAAUGCUGAUUGACCUGAGUUUGGCUUGAUUUAAAUCGGUAGGUUUAUCGGAGGGUUUAUACACAUCUUCUGUCACAUGUCAUUGCAUCUUUACUUGUAAUGACAACUUUUUAUGCAUAUAUAUAUGAAAUGACUUUCUCCUUAUAUAUUAUCUAGCAAUGCUAAUAUUUUUUCAACACUUAGGGUCAUAAGCAAUGGUUGGCAGAAGUUCAAUUUCUUGGAGUUUUUGAGCACCCAAAUCUUGUGAAGCUUCUUGGUUACUGUGCACAAGAUGAUGAGAGAGGGAUUGAAAGGCUAUUGGUCUAUGAGUUUAUGCCAAACAAGAGUUUGGAAGAUCAUCUAUUUAGCAGGGCUUAUCCUCCUCUUCCCUGGAAUUUGAGAUUGCAGAUAGCUUUGGGUGUGGCUGAAGGCUUAGAAUACCUACACGAGGGAGAAGUUCAGGUACCGUCUCUUCCUUUCUCACUAGUUUUGUUGCUUGCUUCCUUUGUGCCAAUAGGCUCUUCCUCUGGUCCUGCUGCAUUUUGAUACACAAAACCUUCCCUUCUUGUGUAUAUCUGACUUCUUGUGAAGUUUAUUCAGCUGACCCUAAGAAAUGAUCAUAUGAUUUGUUGUUGUCUUUCUUCUAAACUAAAUAAAUCAUGAGGUACACUUUUCACAUUCGGGUCUUACAUGUAGAAACACUACUCUGAUUGAGAUGCCAAUCAGAGAAUCCCAUUUCAUGUCCUUUUGCCUGGAUUUUGCAUCCUCUAAGUUCCUACUGAAUUCUGAUCGCAACUUAAAUAUGCUGCAAAUAAUAGCAGAAUUUGUUCGUCUCGCAGCAGUUUCACCAUCCUCAUCAUAUCGUUUUACAUCACUUAUCCUGACAGAAAUUUGUCAAAGAGAAAGAGAAAAACAAUAGAUCUGACACUGUUCAUUUCCUGUCUUCUUUUAAUAGCACAAAUCUAGAAUGCUCAGGUUUCGAUUGGCAACUGCAUUAAUUUGAUGCCUCCAACAUUAAGAGUAGCUAAGUAUAGAGGAAUGGUGGCAGUACUAAUUCAAAUGCAAUUCAAAUUAGCAUAAGCCAAAGAGAGCUUUUGCACUUGCCACUUACCUGAUGUAAAGACUGAGAGAACAAAUGAAUAUUUCCUCUCGUUUUCUCAUUGUUCACCUUGGAACAAAUGAAUAUAUUCCUCUUGGGUCAAUUAUUCAGUAAGAUGGAGAGAUUGAUGAAGAUGUCAUUUAUAGAGUAAAAAUAGGAUGGUUAAAAUGACGAGGGGCGUUAGGAGUCUUGUGUGAUCUUCGAAUAUUGUUGAGAUUGGAAAAAAAUUAUAAGACAAAUGUAAGACCAACAAUAUUAUAUGAUUUUAAAUGUUGGGUAGUUAAAAAAUAAUAUAUACAAAAAAAUUGUGUUGCUAAGAUGAGAAUGUUGAUAUGGAAGUGUAGAGUUACUAAGAAAGACACGGAAAAAAUAUUUUUAUUCGUAAAUAACUAGGUAUCAUUUUGAUAGAGAUAAGAUGAGAGAGAAUCGUUUAAGAUAAUAUGGGCAUGUGCUUAAAAGACCUAUGGAUAUGAUAGUUAGAAGAAGCGAAAUCAUUAAUGUUAGUAGCAAGAGGAGAGACAAAUAAGGACCUAAAAAGACCUUAAUGGAAACCAUAAUUAAUGACUUAAAUACUCUAAACUUAACUAAGCAUAUGACUUUUUAUACAUCUCGAUGACGACAAAAGAUUCAUAUAGCUAACUCCAAAUAGUUGGGACUUACAACUCUAUUGCUGUUGUUCUUCUUCUCAUCGUUCACCUCUCCCUUUCUCUCACACUCUCUUCUUAUCUGUGUAGAACCAUAUUGACUAUUUGCACCUCAAUAUCUAUAUUGACUAUUCUUCUUAUCUGUGUGUGUGUAUAUAUAUAGUUUCUUUGUGAUGUUUGAAUAAGCUUCCUAGUCAGACUCUUGCAGAUACUGGACAAUUGUGUGAGCAUUAGCUUCUAUCAAAAUGUCAUGAGUAGAAUACACAUUCAUGUACAAAGAUUACAUCUUGUAGAACCUGAUUUGGUGCCUAGUUCUUCUUUUGUAGCAUAUGCAUUAAUUGGCUUGGGGUGUGCAGCUCUUAUCAAAAUCUUAUAUUUGAACUCCAUUUCUCGGAAACAAUUUAGUCUUCAAUUCCAUUUCAAAAGGUAAUGACAUUAUUACAAGAACAGGGGACAGUAAUGUAAAAACUACAGAAACUAGCAAAACAGAUGAUAAAUGCGUACACUCUUCCAUUAGUGCCCUAUCUAAGGUUCAUAAAGAUUAUGCAAUUUGUCUCUUUUCUUGUGCCCUCUGUCAAGGUAAUUAGCAAAGACAAUGACAAAAGUAUCAUGACAUUGUUCUAGCUUCAUCAUGCUUGAAUUUGCCUCCCUUUUUUUCUUUUGUAUUACAUCUUGUAUCAGUUUAAAUUGGCUUAUUGAGAGAUAUAAUUCAGUUUUUCUGACUUGGAGCUUAUAAUAAAUAUUUUCUACGUAUUUUGGCAGGUGAUAUACCGGGAUUUUAAAGCAUCAAAUGUAUUGUUAGACAAAGAUUUCAAACCAAAACUAUCAGACUUUGGCUUGGCACGGGAGGGACCAACAGCUGGGCACACUCAUGUGACUACGGCGGUAUGUGUACUUUGCUGAAUCAGUUGACUUGCUAUCUCUUUUCAUAAACCUUCAGAUAAAUUAAUAAGAUACUCUCCUCAAGCUUGAUAUAUUCAUGCCUCAUCUGUCUUUUCUCUUCCCCCCUUUUAGUAGUAUUAUGUUCAUGGUCUAACAUCCCAAUAAAUGAUUGGAUGACUAAUUGUUGCUGACUUAACAUUGACACACCUUUAGUUUGAGUCUUUGGUCAACUUCUUACUGUAUGAUGUCUGGGUUUCAGUAAUCUUCAUUGAUAACUAUUUAGAUUUGCUACAUCAAUCCUUUGUUGCUAUUCAGACUUGUUAAGGCAACAUUCGUAAACAAUCCAAGUGCCAUUAUGUCCUUUUUCACUACUAAUUGGAAGAGCUCAUGCUUCCAUUGACAGGUUGUAGGCACGUAUGGAUAUGCAGCUCCAGACUACAUAGAGACGGGACAUCUCACAAUUAAGAGCGACGUAUGGAGUUUUGGAGUGGUUCUUUAUGAAAUCCUUACAGGCAGGCGUUCGUUAGAGAGGAAUCGGCCACCAAAUGAGCAGAAGCUUUUGGAAUGGGUGAGGCAAUUCCCCGUAGAGACCAGGAAGUUCAGCAUGAUCAUGGACCCGAAACUAAGAAAUGAAUUCUCCCUCAAAGCUGCACAUGAAAUAGCUAAGUUGGCCAACAGAUGCCUGGUCAGGGAUCGUAAAGAGCGUCCAUCGAUGAGUGAAGUCGUAAAGUGUUUGAGAAGAGCCAUACAGAUGGAGCCCCCAGUGAAAGAACUUACUCUACCGACGGAUUCAAACAGGAGGAGAAUCGAUGCUGAAUCUUCAAGGAGGUAGCUGUUUCAUCAGCUAAAUCGAGGGCUGUGGUCCAUAUGGUUACAAGGAGAAUGCAUUUUGCAAAUUGAAGGCUUCAAGUUUCAGAAAAGUAAACGAGGUGGUAUCGGUUUCGGUACCGAAUUAUAUUCCUUAUGCAACUUGGAAGUAUCAAUUUAGCUGAUAUGUAAUUAUCAAAUUUGUUUGCUUUCUUCUUCUUCUUUCUUCGACUAGUGUAUGUAACUCAGCGAGUAGCAGAUUAGAAUCAUGAGUUCUAGUUGGAUUGUAAAAGACCUGGCCGAAUAAGCUUGAACUUGCGAGUUGCACUUUGCUUGUACUUGAUGUAUCAAACCAGUUUGGUGGAUUGUCUUCCCUUGUUUCUCACGACCUCCAACAUGAAAUUAGCAGUACAUGACACUGUAGAAAGAGGGCAAAAGGGUAUUCUGACUGGAACUAUAAUUGUCUGCACAAAUCGAAGAAUAAUGUGUUCUCUGGUUUUAUUGAUGGGGAAACAAAAUAUCUGUUCUAUGCUCUCGGUUGUAUCAUUUCCGUAUCAAGACUUGGGUCGGUUCUAUCAAAAAAUACUUGAGCUAAAAUUAAUAAUAGUAUAGAUCUUUAUAAAUCAAUAUUAGUCUUAUCCACUUUUAAUAUAAAACUACUCUAGGUAUUACAAUUUUUUAUACUUAAAAGGACUCGACAACAGUUCACAUCGUGACAAAUCUUCUUACUUUACCCACAUGUAGCCUAGAUCAAAUUCUAAUCUUCUUACUCUAUCCACGUGUAACCUAGAUCAAAUUCUAACACGAUACAUGUGAAGGAUAGUUCAAUUGACAAAUCAUUGGACUUGAAGUUUUGAUAUCAAGUAACACAAUUGAUCAAAAUAUUUAAAUAAUAGUAUAUUUAUCAAACCCUUAUAAUGAAUCUUAGUCUUAUCAUUUUUUACGUGCAACUAAUUAAGAUUUACUCGAUCAGAUUAACUACUAAAAUUGAAAAAAAAAAUUUCCUUAAUCCAAGACUAGGCUUCUUACCACAUAUCUUGAGUUCGAUUACAUGGCAGACACGAUUCAUAUCAGAUACUCUAUGAUGUACAACGCAUCACCAACGUAUGCUAACCACUGUGCUGACACAUUGGGGUGCAUGCAACGUAGCCUCGACGCACUGCUGACGCACGCCCCCUUCAACCGGUACUCGACUUAGGACCGAGUCAAAUGGGGCUGUUUCCCCCACAAUUCACUGUGAGAUGACGACGUUGGUGAUGAAAUGUUAGAGUAAGAUUGCAACAAAAGCGCAUCUAAACUCCUUUAGGUUAGCACAUCAUCUACCAUUGCCAUCACAUCAGAAGAACAAAACACUGGUCAGGUCAUUGCAGAUGCGCGGCUGCUAUCAACGGGGAUGGCUUGUUUGCAGAGAGAGAGAGAGAGAGAGAGAGAGAGACGGUGGUAGGUGUCUUAAAUACGAGGGGUUUGGUGGGUGGGGGUAGCUCCGGAAGCCUCAAGCCGGAGGGGAGAUGGGGAGGCGACCGUGCUGCGACAAGCUCGGGGUGAAGAAGGGGCCGUGGUCGACGGAGGAGGACAAGAAGCUCAUCAGCUUCAUCCUCACCAAUGGCCAUUGCUGCUGGCGCGCCGUCCCAAAGCUCGCGGGCCUGCUGCGGUGCGGCAAGAGCUGCCGGCUUCGGUGGACCAACUACCUGCGCCCCGACCUCAAACGAGGUCUGCUCAGCCCCGCCGAAGAGCAGCUGGUCAUCGAUUUCCAUGCUCGCUUGGGGAAUAGGUUCUCUCUCCUCUUCUCCCUGCUCUGCCUUCGAUCACGUCUACCGAGGCGUGCAUGCAUCAAAAUCACACACGUUCAACACAUAAGAAACAAGCAGCAUAUCAAUCUUCUCACUGCAUCUACCUUUUGCUGCGUUAAAUGCAUCACAAACAUUGAAACAUAACGUGAUCGUUUGUCAUGAUCACAUCAAUUGGCAUAAUAUUUCAUUGUCAUUAUCCGUCCAUUCCGUAGAACUCAGCAACAGUCAUUUAUUUUUAUGUUUCUCCUGUGUUCUGCCUCAUCAGAUACAGCGAUCGAUCUCCUGUUACAGUUCAAGCUUUGACUACUGUUCUCUCCUGCUUCGGUUCCGUUGACAACGAGCAUGCUCCAUGACAAUUACCUCGAUUUGACUCCAUGCAGGUGGUCAAAGAUUGCAGCAAUGUUACCAGGAAGAACAGACAACGAAAUCAAGAACCUGUGGAACACACACAUCAAGAAGAAACUUGUUAAGAUGGGCGUCGAUCCAGUCACUCAUAAGCCACUCGACAGGAAAGCGAACUCCGUCUCCUCACAGUCCACUGCGACGACGGAAUCGAAGUCCGACCAGCAGUUACAAUCACGAGGAACCGACGGUCAAAUCCAGUCGUCGGAGAACACAUCAAGUCCAACGGAAGCAAGCUCGAACGCUGAUGGCGCAGACCCGCUGUUAAGCUGCUUGUGGGAGGACAACACGUCACUGCUGGAUGAGCUGUGGCAGUUUCCCAGCAACGAGGACGUGGAUUACGGCAGCGUCGCCGGGCCAGUAUGGCCGUGGGACGAAGGGAGCUGCGAGUGGCUGCUCGAUGACCAGGCUCUUGGGUAGGAGAUGUGCAAGUGGCUUGGCAAUUGUAGGUAGACAAAAGCAAAACUGAGUUCUCCGCGUAGUGUACAAGUGUAGAUUGCUCCUAAUAAGCUUGGUUAGGGAAGCAAGCUUGGAUCCCUUGUUCCUGCAAAGUGGAAGCUGGAUCACAACGAAGCUACUCUUCUCCUCCUCCCUCUGUGUGUGUGUCCGGGUAGAAAGUCAUGUACAGUUAGUUCUCCGGAGAACUUUGUCGUCGUCCAGAUUGAUCCUGUGAUGUACAAGACUGCGCACAUCAAAGGUGUACAUUUAGCUUAGCAUUCAACGUGGAUGGACGAAAUCUAUGGAUCUGGAUGUCAUGAACAAGGAACAUUGGAUGUCUCUUAUGACUCCACAGUAGCAAAUUUCAAAGUAUGGAAUCAAGUGUGAUCAGUUCUUCCUAGUUUGCUGCCUUGUCCUAGUUGGUCUGUUCUACAUCGUCAACCAUCAAAACAUGACGCGGUGAGGUGGAGGAUGAUAGUCUAGCUUGAUCAUAUGAUAAUUAGACUAAAUUAAGUGUAUAGAGUGCGACACAAGUGCUGCAAAAUGUUAUCCAAUUGACUGCAUUUAAUAAUCUGCCCUAAGGUUCACUCUUUAAACAUUAAAAUAUAUAUAUAUAUUCUCUGCCUUACUAUGUUAGAGAUUAGGUGAAAUAAGGAGAAAAAAAAAAACACGACGGUCGAUAAGAAUUUUAAGGAAUAGUUCUCAUAAAAAAAUAAAACUACUACUCAUGAAUUAUCUUUUAAGGCAUCUAGAAAUAAUGUUGAUACUCUCUAGGUUUUUUUUAGAGAAAUAUAUAUAUAUAUAUAUAAUUUUUUUUAUGUGACAACAUACGUAUGUAAGGAGAUUUGUGCUUGAAUAAAGAUAAAAACUCGAGGGUCUUAUAAUUAAUGAAGAAUUUAUUUUUGACCGAGAGUUAUAUAAUCAUAUUAAUUUUGCAUCGAUUUUAUUUUUUAUAUGUUCUUGAUUAUUAUUCUUUAUAAUUUAUUUUAAUUUCGAGUUUUCUCUCCCUCAAAAUAUUUAUACCCAUGAGUUGAUAUCGAAAGCUGUGGAACCACAUUAAUUUGUUUUUAUAUAUUGGUCAUGAUGGAACACAUGGCGAAGGAUUUAGCAGUUAGCGUGAGAGGUGGGAAAAGCUACAGCGACAAGAACAAUCCACAGCGUGGUGCGAUUGGACGAGGAGAAGAAGGAUUGUUUGCUUUAGAAUCACACGUAGAAAAUGAGCAAGAAUUCUUGCACGACACACCGCAGGAAGUGGCGCAUUCGAGGAUGAAGAAGAAGGAAGCUGAAACAAGAAAUGUGGGCCUUGCAGAUGAAAGCUAAGCAUCACCAACAAAAUGGUCGAGAUGAAGCGAAGCUGGAUGUGCAGGAGACAUGGAUGGAAAACGAUGACGGUGGGACAUAAGAAGGCAACCUGCCUUGGGAGCAAUGACCGAGGAGCUAAGAACAAGUUCUCAGCUGCCAGGAAAGGUUAAAUUUCCAAGCUGCUGAGUUCCAUCUGCUGAACUAUCUAUCAUUAGGUUUGGUGAAGGCACAUCAGUUUCUGGGGGAUAGGACAAGGUUGGUUGGCUCAUCCUUUUCCAAGCAUGCAUACAGCAUGGACCUUCACUGCUAGGCAACCCAUUGGUUGAUGUUCUUUGGCCACCAUUUCAACCUCAACAAUAAUAAAUUUAAUAUCUCGGUUUCAGUGAGUAAAGAUUUAAAUUAAUAUAUUAUUAUAAAUCUAGAUAUAAAUAUUUCAUUAUGUCUUUUCUGUUUGAUGGAUUGACGGGUUGGACGUUUUUUUCUUCUUUUUUUAAGACAAAGGAUAAGUGAUGAAGACGAAAUAAAUGUUACGAUAAACUUUCAAAGUCAAUUUAAUUAAUCUAUUAACGAAGGCAAAAUAAAGAUGAGAAUAGGUAGGGGAAAGAAUAUUGCGAUUGAUUAUGUUUGUGAGUAAUGAUUGUUUGGUUUUGACUAUUUGAUCAUUCGUGUUUGUUUUUAAUAUUUAAUGGAUGAAAAUAGGAUCGAUAGGUGUUGUCAAUCAAAAUCUAGAAAGAGACUAUAAUAAUAGAAAAUGAAGAAAUCCAAGAAUGUGUAUAUGAAGUUAGGAGGCGUGAAGAAUUAGAUGAAGUUGAAAAAUGAAGAUGAAUGAGAUUUAGGAACAAAUUACUCGUUUUGUUUGUCCGAUUUAGAAGACCAUUAAGGGUUGCAUGCGAAGGCAGAUUAAACUUGUUGAACAAUUUAAUUUUGUAGAAGCAGAUGAUUUCUUUAUACAUGGAAUAAAUAAUAUGGCAAUUUAAGAUCUAUUGCUUUAGGUUUAGGUGUUGUCACACACACCACUUCAUUAGGUGAUCCAUCUACUGUGGUAUGUCCUCAAGAUAUCUCAAACUAGAUUGAUGUAGGGAACUGGUUUAUUGUUCUCUCUAUAUCGCAUCAGUUUUCUUCUCUGAAUUAAACCUGGUUUUCUAUGUUAACACAGGAGUCUUUAUCGAAAUUGAUCUCAUCUUGUUCCCAGGUGUUACCUGUUGAGAAUCACAUGAAACAAUCAUGAUGAUAGAGAUUGGUAGGAUGUAUUUUUCUUCCGAUGUUCUAUGUAAUUUUCUAUAUAUUUCAAUAGCUAUGUUUGCAUGUUUUUUCCGAGUGCAAAUACUUCCAUAUUUAAGAUUUUCUAUUUUUGUUUCCAAGUGCCAUGUUUGAAAUUUGAGCAUCAGAACCUACGAAGAGGGAUUCUGACUGAAACAGAAGUGUGAACCACUCAGAAGUGCAACAUUUAUAGCCAAGUCUUCAAGUUUAUCUUUGACAUGCUGUCAAACAGAAGUUUGAUGUCUCAUUUGUGUUGUGGAGAUGUACCUUGUAGCAACAAGGAAGCGGAUCCAUUUAUGUGCUUGCGGCACAUACUUGUUGACAAGGAACAUAUGUCCAUCUGUUGUCGCGGAACACCAAUAGUGCUAGUGUUCCUUCUUCUUGUCGGUGGAGUGUCUGAAUCCUUAUUUGAAGGAUCCCGAGAUGAAUGUAUCUCAUUCCACUUCGGAUCAGUUGGUCAAAACUUUGUUCUUGUAUAAAAGCCCUGUCUUCCUGGUUAUGGUAAAUUGUCAUUUGACACGUAUUCAAUAUACGAAAGCUAUCAUCGAAGAAAAAGUUUCAUCACCUUCCACCUAUCCAUCCUCGUAGACAAUAGUCAUAGGCAGGCCGUUCGGGAUUGUCUUUUGUCUAUAGCUCACGUGGACAAAAUGUCAAGAGAGAGAGAGAGAUGUUGGGGUAGUUAGAGAUUGUCCCCUUCCCAUUCCCAAGUAUAAAAACUAAUCAUUAACGUUAUAUUAAGUUAUUAUUUUCCUAAGAAAAAUCUUUACCAACUAAAGAUCUCAAUCAUUAACCUGAGGAUCGAAGAUAUUAUAUUGUAAAAUUUAUUUCGACAUCGAUUUUAGUGUAGGUGGUGUCUCGACGGCUCGAUACUUCCUCCUCGGAACCAUAUCAGAGGAUACCUUAGUCACCACCUCAGAUAUUCUUGCAUCCUCGAGUUCAGAUCAUGUCAAAAUCUCCUAACACAUGUUGAUACUAAACUAAGUGAACGAAAAGGUUACAGCUGAUUUAAAACAAUGCCAAAAACCAGCCAUAUUACACUCAGCUUUAUAUAUUAUUGAGUCCAAACCAGUAUUCUUGCCCAAAGGGAGUUUUAAUCGUAAUCCGAUGAGGAAUAUAUUUGUAUUUUCAUCAUUAUUUUGAGAAGGUAGUGUCCAAAAGGCUCGAUACUAGUGAAGUAUACGAGUUAAAAUUCCGUAAGCUGUUAAAGGCUCAUAUGAAAGAAAAUUUAUCAGGAUAUGAGUUACGUGUUUCUUUCUAAAGGAAGAAUAAACCUUCCUUGACAAGGAUAGCCUUCGAAUUAGCCAAUCAAACUUAUAUUUCUGUAUCACAUUUGUGAUUGGAUCUAUGUGGUUUGCAAAUUACAUAAAUCAUUUUGACUGUUAUCCGGUCUUCAUCCUAUUUAUGACUGGAAUAGGAUUGGGUUUAACAAAGGUUACUUGAUAAAUAUAAUUGAUGAUUGACUAAUGACUUUGAUUUAUUAUAUUUAUUUUUUUUUGUGUAUUUGUAUUUGAUUCUCUCUCCUAAGCAACUAGAGGCAAUAUAGGAAUUCAUGAUGCAGAAUCUAACAAUUGAGCUUUUUAAACAUUUGAUUUCAUGUGUCCGGUUGAUUUUUUUGUUUUCAAUUCUAUUACGAAGAUUAAACCUUGGAAUAUAUUCUGUUGCAUUCAGGAAUGGCGGAUUCAUAUACCAUACAAAUAAGCUCUGACCUAAUGAGUCAACUAGCUGCUGAUGAAAAGAAGGUGAAGAAGAAAACCAGGAAACACAGGCCAAAGAUCUCAGAGGAACCUCCAUCAGCCACAGGCUCCCACAGCGCACAUAAGACCACCCCUCCAGCGUCCCAUGCUGUUGCCAGUACCCCCAAUUUUCAAUCUCAGAGUUGGAGUCAAUCGGUUCUGUCCUCCAGGAGAGUGAAAGAACUAUGGAGAAACUGGAAUAGCCAGAAGAAGAUAAUAUGAAUCAGGAGCUUACUCAGAGAGCAUGAGACUGAACAGAACGAUUCUUGUAUGUAUGUAUCUAGCAAUAGCACCGAUACCCACUUUUCUCGAAAUCCAAAAUAAAAAGAUCUCGACAAUAAAUCUCAAAACUCAUCAUAUAUCAUAUCAGUGUAGCGUACCAGAAAUUUUCAUACAUAGGAUGCUAAGUUAUGCAUCAACAAUAUGUAUAAGAAUUUUCCAAAUAGAAUAAAAUUAACAGGAAUAUUAAAAUAAGAAUAAAGGUUAAAAGAAGAUCACCUGUUAUUCUUUUCCUUCUCCCUCUUCUUUCCUUUUCUCUCAAUUUUCUUUCUCUGUUUACUUGCAGGGUUGCAAGGAUCCUUCUCAAGCAGGGAAAUGAGAGAUGGUUGAUAGACUACUGCACUUUAGUCCAUUACAGGGCAACAAUAUCAACAAGUAAGUCCCUGAAACGUGACUAACCGCUUGAUGGCAUAGUUUCUGAAAUACUCAUAAUUAUAUAUACAUCCCUAGCAAGUCAAAAUACAUCUCUUCAUUUAAAACUGGAUCUGACAAGCAGGAUUUUGCUUUUUGGGUUUCUGAAAUAAAAGGUGUAGCCAGAAAUUUUGUAAGAAUAGAAACACCAGUGUGAUCCCUCGAUAGUAGAAAACGAUUUCAACGUAACUGCUCGUCAAGCAAGCAUCCAAGAAUGUUGCAUCUCACCUGCUCGCUAGUUAAUGGAGUCCACCAGCCAGAUAGGUAUGGUCCCAAAGAGAAGAAAACCUUAUCAUUGUCGGCCAACCAAUUGUGCAGCUUGUUGGAUUCUCUAUGAACACUGAUGAGAGCCACCUUGCAGUUACUUUCUUCUGAUGAGCCCUCCCCAGUAGCAUGCACCUCGGCCUCCCCUGCAUGUAAGGGAACCCCAAUUAUAUUCUCAAAUGAUACAUGUAAAGAUGAUCUUAGAUGUAGUCGCACAAGAUGAUGUUCUUGCAGAAUAAGUACCAAGAGUUCUGAUGACACGAGAAACAAUUUUGAACUUUGAUGAAGAAACUCUGCUUCUUAGGGUGCCACAUCAUAACAGCACCGCUGUUUAUCGUUUGCUUGAAGAACAGGAGCGACAAUACAUCAUCUAUUCUCUGGUGCACAUCUUAACCUGCAAGAACUCUACAGAAAACUAGUAUGUGUUGGAUAUCACAUCUGAUUCCCUAGAGCAUUCCAGCUCCAACUUCUCCCGAACACGCUGCAUUUCACUGAUCCCAAAGGUUCGAUUUGCUGAGAGGAACAAAAACAGCUAAAACGCAAUAAGAAAAAAAAUAAACAUAAAAGAAACAAUAAAAUGAAUAUAAGACGGUCAACUACCUGACCGGAUGAACUAUAAAGAUGCAAUCAGAACAGCAACAGCAAUGGGUCAACUGACUCAUGGAAUUACUGAGAAACAGAAUAUGUAACACUUGAAGAUGGACUUGAACUCCACAGUUUCACUAUCGUACAAGAUUUCACCAUGAGCUUUCCUCAAUUGUUGGUUGGACGAUCUCACGUUUGGAAAUAUGAAGAUGCUAUCUUGAAAUGAUCCUCUGCAGCAAAUUCAUCUAUGACACCUAAGGAGAUAAAAGUUUUGACUUUCUUGUUCAUCUAUCUACCUAUUUUCAGACUCCAGCCUGGUUUGACAAGAACAAAUCUAUCGCUAACCAUUUGCUUUACAGAUAAACAAGGUAACCCAGUGUCUCAGGCUCUUAUUAAUAUGCAUCUCAAACUUAUGCAGCUAUUCUAAAGUCUAUUUCCACAGCUAAAACAAUUAAUUCCCAGGCCAUAAUGGCUCAAUAUUAGUUCGCAAAAAAGGGUCAUCCUCCUAAUUUAAAAAUUGAUUCGAAAUAGUUUUUAAACCAAAAGUGAAUAAGUUUCACACGAACAAGUGAAAUGAUCAAGGAACCAUUCUCCUGUGCAUAUGAAAUAGAAAAAGGAAAACUAGAUAUUGCUCUCAUCCACCAUUAUAUCAGUAUGUUCAGGCACAUUAACACCAUGGUAUUUACAACCAUUUGAUCCACAGAUAACUAGUGCGAUAGUGAGCAGAUUAAUUAUGCCUAAAUAGGCAAGCAUAACUUUUCUCAACAACCAACCAAAAUGGGACAUACUUCAUGAAUCAUCAGAUCAUGAAUGAAUAUCAUUUUAUUUAAUAAUUCACAUUAACUAUUAGAUACUAUAGCCCUUCUGGUUUAGCUAGAUUCCCUUUUUUUUCAAGGUUCUGUUUUCUACAAGUCUACCCAGGCUUUUAUGCAUUCGAUAGCUUAGCCUCUCUCAGAAAAAUAAAUUUUACACUCAUGUACUGAAGUACUGGCCUCAUUCUCAACUUUCCUUUUAGCUUUAGAAACAGGAACUUAAAGAGGGGCUUCAAACACGUUUACCAACGAAAUGCAUGUUUUUCAAUAAUGUUUUGGCUGUUUUGAGAUGUUAGUAGAAACAGGUUUUACUCAAAAUGUCACACAGACAAAAAUAAGACCACAGAUAUAUGACAUGCAACAGCCUUAACCUUCAUGAUUCUGAAUGGUUUUCCCCAGAAAUUAAAACACUAUGUCAUCAUAAAAUCUAACAUGAAGACAGCUGCCCCAAUUUUGUUCUGGAUCUUCUUGGUUAAGUUGAGCAUCUCGUCCAUAUCACUUGCUCAACUUAGCUUGCAUGCACGGAUAAAACUCUUAGCCAAUAUUUCAUGAAUUUAACCCCAAAGCCACACAAACUAAUUUUAUUUUUCUUUGGACUUCAGCUACUAAACCAUGAUUGACAGUUCAAUGAGAUUUGAGUAUGCAAGGAAAUUAUGAAGUUUUCUCAAGACUUAUAAAAACAACAGAAACCUAAUUGAACAUUCUUCUGUUAGCUUUUCUGGCAUCCUACAAAUGUUUGGUAAUGUGGCUCAGAAUUGUUAGUGGUAUAAGUGAUGUAGUGUUUGUAAUGUGGCUGAGAAUUGUCAGUGGCAUAAUUGAUGUAGUGCUUGAAAGAGUGUUUGUAAUAUAGUCACAUACCUGGAUUCAUACUUUCUUGCCAAAAGGUGCCCUUAUGACAAAUAAAGUACUCCUCGUCCUUCGGUCUAGAUUAUAGCUUCCCUUUCUUCAGUAAUGGCUUCUCAUCAAUAAAACAAUACAUCAUUAUUCUACAAUCUGGCAACUCUUACAUACUGUUCUGGAACAGUCUUUCUUAUGCUCUAAACCUUGUAAUCCUAGAAGUAUCAGUAUCCAUUUCUGGUUCCGGCCCUCGAUCUCCUGGUCAUGUAUCCCUCCAAUCCACAGCCAACUUGAAUGUGCCUUGUGCUUCUCCUCCACUCUUCCUCAUUCACCACCUUCCUAACACAAUCCUCCAGCUUCUCCCUAUCAUCGUCACAAACUCCAGCAACAAGCAAGUCCCAUGUCUCCACAUGCGGGGCCACCCCCUUCGUUAGCAUUGUUUCCAGCACCCUGCAAGCCUCGUCCACCUUCCCCACGCUACAAAACCCCUUGACCAAUGCAUGAAACACUGAGAAGUGCGGUACGAGUCCCUUCCCCACCAUAACCUCCAGAUACCCAUGACCCUGAUCAUAUAAUCCUCGUGAGCACAAUCCAUGUAUCAGUGUCGUAUAGGAGACAAGAUUUGGCAAACAUCCAUGAUCAGGCAUAUCCUCGAUCACCUUACAUGCAUCAAGCAGCCUACCUUCACGACAGAACCCAACGAUCACCGUGUUGUAAUGGAUGAUAUCCGGGUUGCAGCCGCGUACCUUCAUGCGGCACAGCAUCUUGUAGGCCUCGUGGAGCCGCUUCUUACGGCAGAGGCUGUUCAGGAGGGUGGUGUAGGUGAGUGAGUCAGGGACAUAGCCUUUGUUGAGCAUAUCAUCGAGCAGGUCGUUGGCAGUGCCGACCUGGCUCUUCCGGCACAACGCUUGCAUUAGGAUCCGGUAGGAAGUGACGUCGGGGGCGAGGCCGACGGUGAAGAUGCGGUUGAAGAGGGAGUACGCGACGGCAACGUUGCCAGAGCGGGCGAAGGCGUGGAUGAGAACGUUGUGGGCGCGGACGGAGUCGGGAACGCCAAAGGAGGCGGAGGACUUGAGGAGUGAGAGGGCGACGGGAAGGGAUGAGGGGUGGGCGGCGAGGGCGGAGAGGAGGCGACGGAAGAGCUUAGGGCGGGGAGGGGAGGAGCUGGAGGGGGAGGAGAGGAUGCGUCGGAAGGCAGAAAGGGCGAGGUCGGGGCGACGGUGGCGGGAGAAGGCGAGGAAGACGGAGGAGAGGAGUGCGGGGGAGGGGGAGGGGAGGCAUCGGAGGAGGGCGGAUGCGGCGGAAAGGUGACCGGCGCGGGCGAGCUUGAGGAUGACGGAGUGGAAGGAAGAGGGGUGGAGGGGGAGGUCAGGUCGGAGGGAGGAGGCCACCUCGACGAUCUCCUUGGCGAGGAGAGGGUCCGACUGAGCGGCGAUCAGCUUGUGGAUGCGUGCCGGAGAGCCGAUCGACGGUCGCGACGGUGUUGCCUGGUGGUCCGCGGCGGACGAGGAGAUGAGGCGGGAGGAGAAGGAGAGUGGGAAGACCUUGCGAGGGAGCGAGAUCCGUGGAGCCAUUUCGUCUCGCAGCUCGCGCUUCGCAAACGGAAUAGAAAUAAAAGGUCAUCUUAAUGGGCCUCCGGGAUCCAAUUUAAAGCCCAAUCAGAUCACAAACAACAGACGACAGAAGCAUGGACAGCAUCGGAUAUGCACUCGAGAUGUUCGAAAGAAUGACUGAGACACGCGACGGCGGUUCUCCAUCAGACAUUACAAAAUAAAUAGCAUAUAUGUGUUUUCAUGUUGGUUUCUAAGGAUCUAUUAAACAAAGCAUCUGCUAUUAUGGUAUAAGAAUUUAAUCAUAUGAUCCACAAAGGUAAACAAGUAAAAGGGUUUGAGUGUUCGAUGAGACCGAGGAAGAAGGGACAGCUUUCCGCAAGAGAACGAGCACUAGACUCAAGGUGCCUUGGGCUGGUUAUGCUUGCUGUACUCCGCUUCUUCCCUGAACUCCACCGACUUCAUUCUUCAUCUACCCUGUCAUCUUCAUUCCCUGGAGAGACAUGCUUCAGAGAUGCCUCUGCUGCUCCCCAUCGGCCAAACACGGGGCAGAACGAACGUACCGUACAAGUUCUGCUCACAGGAUAGCAUUUUGGGAUCAAAUGAGAGCCAUGACUAACCUUGCAUAUCUAUACCUUAAACGAGACACUUUCAUGAAGACGAGAAGCUCGGAGAAGUUGGUAGAACUAACAGAGGACUGACUGUUCAUUGAUCGUGUAGGUCUGGUCGCCAUGAAUUGCCUUUUAAGGUCAUGACAGCCAAGGAAUCUCGUGAGCCUUCGGGGUUUCUGUACAGGUAGAGAGGACAGGCCUUCCCAGCCAUCUCCACGGCCGAGCAUCUUCUUGAUUGACCCAAGAGGAGGCAGUCGAUCGCCAUUGGAGCCUCUGAAAGGACUAAGUCAGAUCAUGUGUCUCUGAUGAUGAUGAUCAUCAUCAUCAUCAUCGUACCAUGUCUUCAUUAUAACAGUGUCCUUCACAUUCUCCGUGAGGCAACGUGCUCCUUGGUUCUAUGCUAGAGUUGCUUAUUACGGAAUCACAAAGCUGAAGACGGGAGGAGCGAACACGACGAGAGUGAAUGGCAAUGUAUGCCACCUUGCACCGGAAUACGCCAUGUAUGGGAAGGUCUCCGAGAGCCGCUGCAUGCAUGGCUUCGGUGUCCGGUUGCUCGCAACUGUGAACGCUAGGAUGCCUAUUGAGAAGCUGCUGGAUGGUGGGUUUUGCCUCUCGUGAAGAAGGGCGCGUGGUGGCGCUCGCCUUGCAAUGCAUUGAUAUCAACCCCGAGCAGCGGCCCACGACGGAGGAAGCGGUGGAGCUGCUCAAAGGUGGUGAUGUAGAAGGCGAUAGGGGAAGAAGAGGAGGAUGAGGAAGAGCUGGAAGACCUCUACAAUUAGCUGGAAAACCUUUAUCCUGAAUAUGUGCAUGCAUUGCAGAUAUUGGUACUGAAACCUUAAUUGAGGGAAAUCUUAUUAUUGUAUAUUUAUGAUCUAUAUACCUAGGGUUAUUGUUAAUCACUUGAUUAUUGUAAGUUCAUGACUGCACUCCUCUCUCUCUCUCUCUCUAUAUAUAUAUAUAUAUAAAUUUAAAGUGCUUUUCUUGUUCCUACAGUAAUGAUAUUUGUUCCAUGUUGAUCAUUGAUUUUAGAUUGAAUAUAAUUGCCUAAGCCUGAGAACGAGGAAAGCCAACAUCAUCUUCAGAAUAGUGAGUGAGAAAUGGCCAACCUGCACCCACAUCACACAAAGAUAGCUUAAUCUUUCCCCUUCAUAAAAUCCACAUACUGCUUUGUCAACAUGGCUUCCAUGCACUAAGCUCUAAGAGAAUAGGGUUAAUGUAACUAGUGGAAACUUGGUUCUCACCCCAUAUAUUUUCACUUGAUGAGAAAGAACACAAGGCAGUUACUAGAUUUUGUGGACCAAUGCAGCUCUGCAAGAGGUAGAAGAAGGAAAAGAUACAGGUAAACUUGGCCACAAGGAGGAAAAGCAACUAUGUUUUUUUCUAUCAUGUCAACAGUGCAGGUUCUCUUGGAUGCUGCCAUCUCCCCGGUGCCUUUUCAGAUCAUAGGUGAGUUAGAAGCUAUCGAUCGAAGAGCCUAAACCCAAAGGAAGUAGACCUAACCCUAACCUAAUCCGACCUUGAGAAUCUUUUAGGUCUACGAGUGGGUUUGCCAUGGUCUCAAGUUAUUCCAGCAUCUCGAACAACACCAAGGGAGGAAUCAUCUGGUCAUCACUUUUGUGGGGAGGAGUCACAUGCGGCCACUUGCCGCCACCUUCAAGCUUCGAUGUCACCUUCCUCUUGUUUAGGCAUCCUAUGUUCACCUUCCUCCUGUUUUGUCCUCUAACCUGCGUCAAUCUCAUGCACAAUUCAUGCUUCCAUCCCCAGAAGAGCAGAAUGACAGUCCAGUUCUGCAUUAGAACAACAUAAAAGCUAAGGAAGAAAAGCCUCCGGAUGGGAAUCAUGGGAGGAACUUGUUUUAGGUUUUCUUUUAUGUAUCUUUAGUCUUUGCUUGUAUAUCCAGUCCAUUAACUUAUGAAGUCCAUUGUGCAUUAGAGGAAGGACUCAUGCACGCAUAACAACAACCAUUACAAAGUCCAGCCGUGGAGUAUCUCACUGUACAUACCGAGUAUAGAAUCUUGUGUUGAGCAAUCCAUGAGAGUGUUCAUUUCAUGCUCGUCAGAAGGAGACAAGACAGAUCUAGUGGGUGCCCAAGAAGAUUAGAUGACAAGCGAGGAGACUAAUUUUAUACAAGAGAGAGAGAGAGAGAGAGAGAGUAUACGACAUAGGAUGGUGGGGGGCCCGUGCUAUCAGUCUGCUGUGCAUUCACUCCUCUCAUGUCAAGGCUAUCUCGUAUGAUGACGUAGGAAAUGAGUGGGCACAGCUGGACUCUGUUUUGAGCACAGUGUCGAUUCUAGUUCGAAUCAUAAGCAGGAUUACACCUUUAUCUUUUAGUCAGACUACUUCACUAACCAUAAGAAAAACGUGUAAUAUGGUUGACUAUUAGUCAAACAAGAGCAGUAGUUUCCUGUGAAGUGAGAGAAUGUGAUCUACAUACGAGUGAGGAGUAGGCGACAGCAGCUAUCAGACUCUACAUACGUUACAGCGUACCGUAUGCAUCGUGCGGUGGUGGUCCAAACUGCAAAGUGCAUGAUAAGAUCAGGACCAUCAAAAGGACAUGUUGGCCGGGUUUGAUGGAUCUACGCAGACGAGAGAGAUUAAUGGAUCUACGAUGGUUUCGGAGCCAAGGAAGAUCCGAUCCAAUUGCCAUCGAGAGUUGCAUUAAUAUUCGCGUUCGGAGUUGGUGGUGCAGCAGCGGCAGGACACGAUGGGCUUCACAUGCGCCGCGGUGACGUGUAAUUAAUGUCGGGACAGUGAAGAAGGGCUUUAACAUGCACGCGUUUCAAAGCCGCCGCUGCUGCUGCUGCACCCUCAUUUGCAGAGGUUCUUGUUGGUGAUCAUGAUCCCAAGGUAGGGUUAGUUAAAUAUGGGGAUUUGGGUCGUCUCAAACCCCGUCUUUCUUCUCCCUUCUUCCCUCACAUCAAGUGAUGCAGAGAAAGACGAUGAGAAAGAGAGAGAGAGAGAGAGAGAGAGAGAGAGGAAGAGCGGAAAGGGAGUCAACCCGGGUAGGACGCACAUGGCUCGAGGAGAUGAGAGAGAGAGAGAGAGAGGAACACAAUUAUUGGGAAUCCAACGAAUGAAUGGUACAGUGACUACGCUUGGGUUAUAAACACUGUUGUAAACGAUGGAAAGAGGUUUGGGUUAGAGAGAGAGAGAGAGAGAGAGAAAGAGUUAUGUGUAGUGUAUACUCGCCUUUGCCAGGAAAUCGAUGAUGGGAAUUGGAUCUCAUCUAGAUUUGGUACUUAAAUAUUUAAAGAAAAACAUAUGAUGAUAGUAUUUUUGAUAAAUAUUUAUAUAGUAUUUUUUAAUUAUAUAUUUUUUAAUAAUCAUUUUAUCUCUAUCUCCUAUCGGACCUGCUUUCACUCCUAUAUCACCGCAAUCAUUGUCUUCUUUAUCUUUUGCUCUUGUAUAGUAAACAAUGAUAACAACCAUGUAUGACUCUCCACUAUGUACGAGAGUCAUCGUCGUACCUCUUUCCUCGCACAAGGGUAAGAUAGAUUUGAUAGGAGUUAACAAUGUAUUCGGAAUCAACAAUAAGUCUGGCAUGCAAAGGAGAAGUGAUGACAAAGAUGACGAUCAGUUUGACAAAAAUAAAGAUAAAUUAAUUUUUUCACAUAUAAUAAGGGAUGCUUUAUUAAAACUUUUAAAAGUUAUGAUGCUUUGCAAGAAUUUAUUAGAGAUAUAAGCCUAUUUUUUUAGAAUUCAACUAUGAUAGUUUAUAAACUUUUUUUAUUUGAUCGAAUGAUUAAUAGUGAGCUUGAAUAAUCAAAUUAUCUAAUUUUCAUAUCGACUAUCAACUCGACGUGAUGUGUUAAGCUAUCACAACUCUGUUCUUUUAUGGACAUCAUACUUGAAUCAUAUACUGUAAAUUAGGGAUCAUAGCUAGAAUACUCAACUUAGAUUUUUUAGAAGUCAGAUGGUUUGAAUCGAGAUGAAAUUCAACUUAACUUCGAGACACAAUGAUACAAAAUUAUAUCGAAAGCAUACACGAUAAGAUCUAAAUAUUUGAAAUGGAAUUAAAGUAUUUGAUUAGUGAGAAAGCUUUUAUCUUCCCUAAUAUUUAUGACGAUGAGGUUAGGGGAAAAUAUUUUUCGAGUCAAAAAUCAUUCUAAGAAUACAUGUAAAUUCAAGUAUUGAUUGAUAAUACUCCCCUGUGUAAUGCAAUAUAGAUAGAAUUAAAAUGUAAUAUCAUAUGAACUCAUCAGAUAGAUAUUUGCUGAUUCUACAUCAAAAAAAGAAUUAAAACAAGGUAGAAUUCAUUGCUUUUUUACUAUCAACUUCCUAAUAUCUUUCUCUCUCUGGCUGUGCAAAGAUGUCAUGGUGUCUUCUCUUGAACAAGUUCAUUGUGCAUUUGCAUUUGCAUUGAUGUAAGUAAGCUUCUCUUUAAAGGACGAGAGGGGGAGGAAAAAAGUAUGCUUCAAUUGAUAUGAAAAGUUUGGAUGCUUUCUGUGGUAAAGCGGAAGAAAAGCUUGCGAGUUGUGCUAAGAGAAGCGAACUUACCUACCAACCUUUUUCCAUGGAUUGGCUUUUGACGUGUUGUGGACGGCAAUAAAUUCCUGUUGUAACUUGGAAGUACUUCCGCCAUGUUUUAAAGAUGCUUCCUUUCCAAUAUGUUUGUUUCUCAUUUUAUUCGCUUUCACCUCACCCUUCCUCUAUUAUCUCCCUUGCACAUACGUGCUGAGAUCAUAUGGAAACCUUCUCUCGGUCAAUCAUCCUCACCACAACUCAUCAAAAAUUUCUGAUAGGUGAAAUCUAUUUUCGUAAGAAUUCAUCAUUUACUAAUUAAUUAUCUUUAGUAUUUCGAUCUUUAUAAAUUUAAAUAUUAUAUUAAGAUUUUUAUAUUUAUGAAAAUAAAAAUAUUUAACUUUGCUUGACGGAAAUACCAUAGUAUUUAUCAUUGAACAUGUUAUCUCAUUUUGAUUUACUAUUGAUUAUGUACGAUAUUUUUAUUAUGAAGAGAAAUAGAAUGAAAUAUUUUACUUUCAUGAGUAUAAGAAUCUCAAUAUAAAUUUUAAAAUAUUAAAUAUAAAUAAUUAUAAAAAAAAUAAUAUAUAAUUAAUCUCUUUAAACAGAUGCAUUAGUAAUGACAACCACGUUAGCUAGCAAGAGGAAGAGGAUCUUAAUUUGUUAAGAUGGAUAAGUAUCUUAUAAUUUAUAGAGAUAAUGUUUAAUAUCAAUACGAGAUAAAAUUUCCAUAAUUUUUUUUGAAAGUUAAGGUUUAUUUUUUUAAUAAAUAUAUUAUAUAUAUAUUUAUUUACUUACUUUUGAUGCAAGGAAAAUAAAAUAUAAGAAAUACUUUUUAAGUACCUCAGGAUUUAUAUAUAUAUAUAUAUAUAUAUAUAUAUUUAAAAUAAAUAAAAUAAAAUAAAACUUUCGAAUUUAUAUGAGAUGAUAUAUAAGUAAAUUAUAUAAGUAAGGUAUUGUAGUUGAUCAACAAAACAACAAGUAGUUGGUAUAAGAUUUGGGAAGAAUCCAUCUCAUCUCACCUAUUUUGGUGAGUGGCGGUCGGAUGGACAGUGGAACGACGACGACGACAACAACAACACAGCAUCGCUAGAAUUCCGUGUGUCGUACAGGGCAGUAACGAGGGGAUGUGGGUAAAUUAGCAGGCGAUAAGACGCGGUGGUCACAGGUAACUGGAGACGCUGUUGGCUGUCUUCUCGGCCAACAGGGAAGACAAGCGAGCACAGCAACACAGCGCCCGACUUCAAAAGUGGGCAUCCGUCACGCAAAAGCACCGGGUUUUCCGGUUAAAAAGGACGGCCGAACCCACGGCCCGAUCCCCGCCGCGUGGCCGCUUCUUCGCCGUCCAUGAGUCGGACGAUCGGAUGGCUUUCGUCCGCCUUCCGCUUUACCUCUCUUCCUCCCGCAAUAAUGCGACAACCGAGACUUUACUGAUCUCCGUCCGAUUUCGAGCGUCGAAGACGAGUCAUUCAUUGACGGGGCUUCAGAGAGGCGGGGGAACCGGAAGGCGGAGGGAGAACUGAGAAGGGUAUGGGGAUCGAGGAAAGUGGUGGAAACUGGAAAUAGAAAGAGGAGAAAGUAGGGAGCAAUAAAUGGGGAAUCGAGGCGGCAGCACAGCCGUCUCCAUGGCGGCGUUGCAGCAGACUCUCUGAUUUCUUUCUCCCUUAAACUACCAUUGGUUUCGGAAUUCAAGAAAAGGGAGACUGCAAGAGGAGAAGUCAAGGAGAGAGAGAGAGAGAGAGAGAGAGGAGUCAUACAGGGAAGAAGCCGGCAGCAUCGACUGCUCCACUCCUGCUGGCUGUUGGGUGCGUUGUGGUUGCAGAGACAAAAAAGCAGCGGGACAAAAGAAGAAAGAAUAGAGCAGAGGUGGCAGUGGCCAUUCUCGCUCCGUCUUGGCUCUCCUCUUUCUUGCUCCCGCGUUCCCUCCUGAGAUCGCUGUCCCACCUCCCCUAGAUAGCAAGGAAAGGGUCGCCAGCAGCUAUGGAUCGAGUAUAACUAGUCCGGUGGGGGAGUAAUCAUGGCGGGGUUUUUUCUCGGAGGGGGCGGUGGCAGCCAGCAACAGCGCGGAGAGCAGCAAGGAGGAGGGAUCCCUCCGUCGGAGAGCUUCUUUCUUUACGGCGUUCGCGGAGGCCGGGGCGAGGACGUCGCUUACACCCGAGGCUUCGAGCUGUGGCAGCACCACCAGAUCCAGCGGGAGCAGCAGCUGUACUCCACCGCGGGCUUCCCCGAUGAGCUGCCGUCCGUGGCGCCGAGGCCGGCGAGAGGAAGCCUGGGAGGCGGCAGCGGGGUGAUGAGCUGCCAGGACUGCGGCAACCAGGCCAAGAAGGACUGCGCCCACAUGAGGUGCCGGACCUGCUGCAAGAGCCGCGGCUUCCAGUGCCCCACCCACGUCAAGAGCACCUGGGUCCCCGCCGCAAAGCGCAGGGAGCGCCAGCAGGAGCUCACCGCCUCCGCCGCCGCGGUGCAGCACGACGAGCGCCACCGCGGUGGCGGCCGAUCCACGGGCGAAGGCAGCAGCGGAGGGGGCGAGCCUUCCAAGCGGCCGAGGGAGAUCACGGCCUGCACCCGACUGCCAGCCGCCAUGGCUUCGACCACCACGUAUGGUACUACAAUUUCCUGCUACUCCCAAGCAGUGCCCGACACUGUUGUUGUUAUCUGAGCCACUAUUUGCAGAAUCCCUUGCGCAGUUCCAUUCUUUCUGCUACACCGAUCACUCCCUCCCUCACUCCCCACCACAUGUUGUUGAGCUCGCUCUUUCCUUUCUACUUACUUGGCUGGCUAUGGCAGGAGGAAGCCUGGACCCCGAGAGCUUCCCACCGGAAGUGAGCGCGCAGGCGGUGUUCCGGUGCGUGCGGUUGAGCCACGUGGACGAAGCCGACGACAUAUACGCGUACCAGGCCGCCGUGAGCAUCGGCGGCCAUGUGUUCAAGGGACUUCUCUAUGAUCACGGCCCCGAGGCCGAGUACCCAUCGUCCUCCUCCUCUCGGUACCAGCUCCACCACGGUGAAGGCUCUUCCUCCCCCGCAGCGGCUGCUGCUACUGCUAUAGUCAGUGCCAGUGCCAGUGCCAGUGCUGGAGAUGCCGCCAUUGCGACCACUGCCACUGCUGCAGCCACCGAAUUGCUUGAGCCUUACCCGACUCCCUUAAGUGCCUUCAUGGCCGGCACGCAAUUCUUCCCCCACCAACACAGACCAUAGCGGAGAAACCUACGAAGAGGAUGCCAACGCCAAGCACGUCUCCUUCACGACCACAGGUCACGUCCGUGUUAUUUAACGUGCCUCAUCUGGUCACCAAUUUUUCUUAUACCAUGCAUUCCUCCUCAUCAUCCGGCAAUUGUGUAAUCUCUCCAAAUAAUUUCAAGUUUUCUCCUUCUUGAUCACUCUCUAGCAUAGCAAACUUAGAGCAGGCACUCUUCUUGUUCCUCACCUAUUAGCAUCUUCGUCUUCCUUUUGACGUCUCGUGUUGCUCUAUCUAUAGUUUGGUCCCAAGAAGAUGGCCGUCUUUACGGGAUCUGCGGGAUAUGCUUCGGGUUCGGAAAUGGACAUGCCUGGAUUUCUGUUUCACAUUGUUUCAACCUCGGAAACUAUAACUUAGACUGCGAAGGACUUGCUUGAGUUGGUUCCAUGUGGACAUGAUGGCCAUGCAUGGAGUAAGCUGAAUCCCAAGAAGCAGAAAGCCUUUUACCACUCUUCCUCGUAGAAAUGUUUCCCUAUAGUGUAUGCUGCACCUGUGGCAAUUUGGAUCUUUCAUGCUACCUACGGAUAGGGAUGAGCUCUAGCAUGUGUGCUCCUUCUCUCUCGAGGCUAAAGUGACUCCGAAUGGGAAAAAGAAGACACAAGAGAUCAACCUUUGCGGCUGUGCCUCAAGUAAGUAGCUUAGUUUUAAUUUGUAUGAUUUUAAUACAACAACAUUGUACAGUCCCAAAAACUGUUCUAUUUCUUUUUGAGGUUGGUCUUUCUUCCUUUUGUUUUCUCCUUCUCGAUACAAGAUUCCUUUAUAGGUUACUGUUGGACAUGUCAAAGCUGCUGCUUGUGUAGUUUCAAUUUUCUACUUUAUUUGCCUCUACCUUUGAGCUAAUCCACAACAUACCUAUUAAUUACUCGAUUGCAUCCUGUGUUAUACCAUCAUCGUAUGUUCUCUAGACAAAUGACAUGUUUGACAGGUACAUCUUGUUUUCUGAUGGUGAACAGAUGUUUGAGUUGCUAACCUGUUCAUAAUUUUGUGCAGCAUGUGUAUAAAUAAGCAUGCAUCAUCCUUAAACUUCUUGCGCAAAUUAAGUUUAUCUUGUUCCAUAUCUAUGGAAAUUCUAAAGACAGUAGUGAAACCAAAUGCUUUGUUAUGUACCAAAAACUACUCGAUGAUUUGUCGGUGUCCUGAUUUCCUAUUAAAGUCAAUUGUCUAUUAUUGUGUGUUUUUUUGUAUGUUUCAUACAACAAGUAUUGUUAGUCAUAACAAUGUAUUCAUAAGGGGUGGCAUGACCUCUCAAGCUUCACCCGAAAAGCAUUUAUUUUAAUCUUUUGAAGUUCUUUAUAAAUUAUUUCAAGGGACCAGAUUUGAUGCAACACUGAAUAACUAUUUUUGUAUUCCCUUAACAAUGGCAUUUUUGCUGACACCAUAUGAUUUGAAUUUUCAGCAGGAAGUUUAUGACUUCUAAAAUUUAAAGAGCAAAAAGGAUAUUGGCCCUUCGUCGCGCACAUCUUUAAAAGGCGAAAGGGUUAUCGGAUAUUAUUGUUCUUAAAAUUCACUAAAAUUGAGUAGUCCUAAGUGAAGCACAAAAUUACAUAAAAAUAGUAGAUAAAAUCAACAAAAAGGAAAUACCAGGUAAUUUUGUUUUGAAAACUCAAUACGCAUUUACUAUGAUAAAAGAUGAAUUAGGUGAGAAAGUACUUCUCUUCAAGUUUUUUGCUUGCUCUGAAAGAAUCAAACCUGUGAUCAAGGGAAACUAUGACUUGCUAAAUAAAAAAUUCAACAAUAAAUUGGGUUUCUGUAAAUUAAAUGAACAUUUUGGGCUUAAAAACUGUAUAUAUGUUUACCUUGGUGUAUGUGGGUCUGUAAGUUCUUGCUACUUUCAUGAUUAUGCUAGUUCGGCUAUGAAUGUGGAUUCAUUCUGUUUUCAUUUUUUUUAUUGCCUUCUGACUACAUCUAAUUAUUUAUUUGUCAUUGAAAUCAUCUUUCCUGUGAGCUAGCAGAUCAUUUACGUGGAUGUCCUAGCUUUGAUCCUCCUCCGUCGCGACCCUCUCUACUUGUUUUUUGCGUAAUCCAUGGCUUUUGGUAUAUUAUCAAAACUUCUGAAUUCUUAAGGGUUUAGAAGCUACUUGUGACCUUGGUUGCAACUUUCUCAUGAACUUUAUAUGCUGCAAAUUAAAGAUAUAAGCCGUAGCAUUGUACACGAGUGCAUGCAAGCGAUGUUUUAUAUGUUCUUUGUAGCUAUAAAAUUAUUAGUGCAUGAUAUAGUUGAAAAGUUCCGUUUACAAACUUCUACAUUAAAUUUAGGCAUUUGAUUUGGUACUUUAAUCGAAUUAAGAUGCUACAUUAAUUGGAAAAAAGAGAAAGAAAUACUAAGUUGUUUCAGGGAAUAUCUACUGAUGAUUGAUUUUGCUUGAAGCCUUCAGUGUCUUUGUUGAGUUAAUGGCUUGGUGGGUCUGGACAUGAAUGGUUAACUAAUGUUAGAGACCUUUUUGUUUCUCUUUUUCGAAUAAAGAUCAUACUAGACAUUUGAUCAUUGCCAUUUUAGCUCAUGAGACUGACAGAGGGGAACCCUAUUGCCGUUCAAUCGACCGAGGAUUUCAGCUCUCUCAAUAGCACCCUGUAAUGUGCCUAGUUGCGCCGGUUAAGACCGAUACACAUAUAUGUAUGUUGAUGGUUGGUUGGUGCAUGGCACUGUCUUUUUUCUUAUUACUCUCAGGGCAUUCUACUGAUGGUAGCAUAAAUAAUGACUGCCAUGGAAUGCAUAUGAACAAACGAUGUUAUCUUGGAAUUCAGGUUAUCUUUACAUGACUCUUCCAACCUCUCAUGAACAUAUCGAACCAUUGACAGCAUUUUACAUUUAUGAGGAAUUACACAAAUUCCUACCUGGUUACAGAAUUCUGUCAUCCUGAUUUUAUCCUACAGUCACACCAUGUAAUUUUUCGCAACAAGAUUACCUUUGCAGUGUUUCUAAAUUGUCAUUAGGCAUGCAAAAAUACUAUAGCUUCAUGUGGUGAGGGAAUGUCUCCUGGAUAAACUUGGUGUUUUGGAGAUCCCAGCUGCAGUUGUUUUCCUGUUGGUCUGCAAGAAGUAAACAGCAGAGUGCUCCAACUGUGAGAAAAUGUUCUUCUUCUGCUCUUUGUUUUGGUUUGCAAAACAUCACUUGGUAGAGAGGCUUUCUUCUCCAGUCAGGCUUUCCAUAUGGAUCAAAUUGGUGUAUGAUGUUAUUGUUAGCUAGCUCUUAAAACGAUUUACACUAUGUGAUUAAUGUUUUGUCAUGUCAAGAUUACUGAAUUAGGUGGUGUAUUGGAUGAAAAGCAUUUGAUAAUGUAAAGGAAGGGACAAGAUUAGGUUGGAACAUGCUUUUUUGUAUGUUGUUGCUGGAAGCCUUGAGGGUUGACAUCUCAGAAUCACCUACAUAACCUAUAGUUUGUUGGAUUGUGAUGAUAAGGGGGAAUGAGAUACCAGUCUUAUCUCUGGUAGUGACUGAUCACUACCCUAAAAGCAGGUCUUCUUUUCUUGGUAGUGGAGGGGAGGGCUAAAGCUUUCCCCAUCACAAAACCGUGGUGAUGUGAAGACCACGAAGCAUUUCUUUUUCCUUUUUCUUUAUCUUCUCAAAGUACUUGUUAAUGAUGAUGGUACCAUUACCAUCAAAUUCUUUCUGGUGGUAGAGUCGGUGUAACUAUCGGUGGGGGUGCAGAUGAACAGUUGGGUUCCUUUCAUUGUGUGCUCGAUGCAAUCUACUUUCCGUAUUCAAAGAUCAGCAGUUUGUCUACGUGUUUGUCACUGACAUGUACUUCGUCCCUGCAUGUCCUCCGAUCCUCCUCCCCUCGCACGAUGAAUGGGUGAACAAAGAAAGCUAUUUUGGGUGUAUCGAUUCAUUUGAUCGGGGGACUUGUGGUAACGUCAUCUUAUCAACAUUUAUGUCGAAUAUUUUCGAUUAAUCGAGUCUCGACACGUAGAAUUCAGCUAGUUAUUAAAUUAUAUUAAACAAAAUAUUCGAUCUGUAUUGUUGCAUUCGAUCUAAUUGUUAGGAAUUCGAAUUGGAAUCUCAGUUCGGUGAUUGGGUUAAAAGAUCGAACAUUUCAAGUAGAGGUAUUUAUUUUUCGGCCUUGAAGAGAAGGAAGGGUUGAAGGCUGAGCCGUAGCACUCGCCUCCCUCCUCACCAACCCCCCAUCACGUCCGAGGAGACAUGAGUACAGAAACAGCGGGAGCCAUUGCCGACCUCUCUCUCUCUCCCUCCCUCCAUCUCUCUCUCUGUGGGCGCAGGAAAGCCGCCGAGGUGGGGGAAGGAAGCGGCAAAAGUUGCGUCAUGUGAUAGGCGGGCCACGCUCUCCAUCCUCUCCGCUGUAGCGCUCUCUUGUCAAGACUAUUUUAUUGCCCCUCAGUUCCACUGUCUUUUCUCUCUCUCUCUCUCUCUCUCUCUCUCGCGACGAAGAGACGGGUGCAUGCAUGCUUGUUUGCUUGCAUCGGGUGGCUGGGGAACACAGAGGACUGAGAGAUCGAUCAUCGCAGCAGGGAAAGCAGGCGUGCAGAGCUGAUGGGUUCUCUGCACCCGUGUCUGGGAUCUGCUGAGUCGACUCGGUUUACCAUGGCGACGGUGGAUGAAGCCGAUGAUUGCCCCGUCGGCGACAUGUCGUAUCCCGCCGUUCCACUCUGUCGCCGACCGCUUUCGAUCGAUAGAUAGGCUCAGGCGGAGGGGUGGGGUGGGGUUCGCCUGUGUCGCGGUCCAGACAGGAAACGGUUUUCCUGGUGCCCGAGAUAUGGAUUGACGUCAUGGCGGUCUUCCUGAUGAAAGGCUUGGCGUGGGAUGAACGUGUUCCCUGUCUCGGCCGAGACAAGUGAGCUCCACCCCAGCCUACGUACUCCACAUGCAAUCUAACCAUAUAGGCCUGUCGGGUGAUUAUAUCAUCAACAGGUGUCAUAUAUAUAUAUAUAUAUAUAUAUAUAUAUAUAUAUAUAUAUAUAUAUAUAUAUAUAUAUAUAUAUAUAUGGGUUUUAGCAGAAAAAAACGAAAGAAAAGAAAAAAUAUUCUCAAAUUCGAGAAAAUGUGCACAUGACUUUGGUUGUGAGGUCACGUGACCAUUGUCCCGACGACAAGUGAGGUCAUUCGGGCAAUAGUCAAAGUGUGUCCAUUGUCAAAUAUAGC